Molecule: ribosomal RNA, 1541 nt
Filed under: Escherichia coli
Lineage: Bacteria; Pseudomonadati; Pseudomonadota; Gammaproteobacteria; Enterobacterales; Enterobacteriaceae
Description: bacterial SSU rRNA
Rfam family: Bacterial small subunit ribosomal RNA
Source: RNAcentral
AAAUUGAAGAGUUUGAUCAUGGCUCAGAUUGAACGCUGGCGGCAGGCCUAACACAUGCAAGUCGAGCGGUAGCACAGAAGAGCUUGCUCUCGGGUGACGAGCGGCGGACGGGUGAGUAAUGUCUGGGAAACUGCCUGAUGGAGGGGGAUAACUACUGGAAACGGUAGCUAAUACCGCAUAACGUCGCAAGACCAAAGUGGGGGACCUUCGGGCCUCAUGCCAUCAGAUGUGCCCAGAUGGGAUUAGCUAGUAGGUGGGGUAACGGCUCACCUAGGCGACGAUCCCUAGCUGGUCUGAGAGGAUGACCAGCCACACUGGAACUGAGACACGGUCCAGACUCCUACGGGAGGCAGCAGUGGGGAAUAUUGCACAAUGGGCGCAAGCCUGAUGCAGCCAUGCCGCGUGUGUGAAGAAGGCCUUCGGGUUGUAAAGCACUUUCAGCGGGGAGGAAGGCGAUAAGGUUAAUAACCUUGUCGAUUGACGUUACCCGCAGAAGAAGCACCGGCUAACUCCGUGCCAGCAGCCGCGGUAAUACGGAGGGUGCAAGCGUUAAUCGGAAUUACUGGGCGUAAAGCGCACGCAGGCGGUCUGUCAAGUCGGAUGUGAAAUCCCCGGGCUCAACCUGGGAACUGCAUUCGAAACUGGCAGGCUAGAGUCUUGUAGAGGGGGGUAGAAUUCCAGGUGUAGCGGUGAAAUGCGUAGAGAUCUGGAGGAAUACCGGUGGCGAAGGCGGCCCCCUGGACAAAGACUGACGCUCAGGUGCGAAAGCGUGGGGAGCAAACAGGAUUAGAUACCCUGGUAGUCCACGCCGUAAACGAUGUCGAUUUGGAGGUUGUGCCCUUGAGGCGUGGCUUCCGGAGCUAACGCGUUAAAUCGACCGCCUGGGGAGUACGGCCGCAAGGUUAAAACUCAAAUGAAUUGACGGGGGCCCGCACAAGCGGUGGAGCAUGUGGUUUAAUUCGAUGCAACGCGAAGAACCUUACCUGGUCUUGACAUCCACAGAACUUUCCAGAGAUGGAUUGGUGCCUUCGGGAACUGUGAGACAGGUGCUGCAUGGCUGUCGUCAGCUCGUGUUGUGAAAUGUUGGGUUAAGUCCCGCAACGAGCGCAACCCUUAUCCUUUGUUGCCAGCGGUCCGGCCGGGAACUCAAAGGAGACUGCCAGUGAUAAACUGGAGGAAGGUGGGGAUGACGUCAAGUCAUCAUGGCCCUUACGACCAGGGCUACACACGUGCUACAAUGGCAUAUACAAAGAGAAGCGACCUCGCGAGAGCAAGCGGACCUCAUAAAGUAUGUCGUAGUCCGGAUUGGAGUCUGCAACUCGACUCCAUGAAGUCGGAAUCGCUAGUAAUCGUAGAUCAGAAUGCUACGGUGAAUACGUUCCCGGGCCUUGUACACACCGCCCGUCACACCAUGGGAGUGGGUUGCAAAAGAAGUAGGUAGCUUAACCUUCGGGAGGGCGCUUACCACUUUGUGAUUCAUGACUGGGGUGAAGUCGUAACAAGGUAACCGUAGGGGAACCUGCGGUUGGAUCACCUCCUUA